AUUGAACGCUGGCGGCAGGCCUAACACAUGCAAGUCGAACGGUAACAGGAAGAAGCUUGCUUCUUUGCUGACGAGUGGCGGACGGGUGAGUAAUGUCUGGGAAACUGCCUGAUGGAGGGGGAUAACUACUGGAAACGGUAGCUAAUACCGCAUAAUGUCGCAAGACCAAAGAGGGGGACCUUCGGGCCUCUUGCCAUCGGAUGUGCCCAGAUGGGAUUAGCUAGUAGGUGGGGUAACGGCUCACCUAGGCGACGAUCCCUAGCUGGUCUGAGAGGAUGACCAGCCACACUGGAAAUGAGACACGGUCCAGACUCCUACGGGAGGGAGCAGUGGGGAAUAUUGCACAAUGGGCGCAAGCCUGAUGCAGCGAUGCCGCGUGUAUGAAGAAGGCCUUCGGGUUGUAAAGUACUUUCAGCGGGGAGGAAGGGAGUAAAGUUAAUACCUUGGCUCAUUGACGUUACCCGCAGAAGAAGCACCGGCUAACUCCGUG
RNAcentral lists this ribosomal RNA (490 nucleotides) under uncultured bacterium. Its description in RNAcentral is "partial 16S ribosomal RNA". It matches the Rfam family "Bacterial small subunit ribosomal RNA", at positions 30 to 507 of the family's 1533-position model. The record is from RNAcentral.